UUUCCGUAGGUGAACCUGCGGAAGGAUCAUUACAAAUCUGGGGGGGUUGAUGGGGUGAUAGAUAUGAUUGAUAUGAUUGAUUUAUCACUCUUCCAUCCUCUGACAUUUGCACAGAGCUCUGCUCUGAUGUACACGCUUGUUUGUUUGACAAAAUAAAAUAUUCUUUAAUGUUGACAACUUUUAACAAUGGAUCUCUUGGCUCUU
Molecule: unclassified non-coding RNA, 204 nt
Filed under: soil metagenome
Description: partial contains small subunit ribosomal RNA, internal transcribed spacer 1, and 5.8S ribosomal RNA
Source: RNAcentral